AACGAAGCAAUUGAAGGAAGUUUUCGGAUGGAAUUCGAUUGACUGAGUGGCGGACGGGUGAGUAACGCGUGGGUAACCUGCCUCAUACAGGGGGAUAACAGUUGGAAACGGCUGCUAAUACCGCAUAAGCGCACAGUACCGCAUGGUACGGUGUGAAAAACUCCGGUGGUACAAGAUGGACCCGCGUCUGAUUAGGUAGUUGGUGGGGUAACGGCCUACCAAGCCGACGAUCAGUAGCCGACCUGAGAGGGUGACCGGCCACAUUGGAACUGAGACACGGUCCAAACUCC
This 290-nucleotide ribosomal RNA is filed under the name uncultured Lachnospiraceae bacterium. Its description in RNAcentral is "partial 16S ribosomal RNA". The stretch from base 52 to 290 matches the Rfam family "Bacterial small subunit ribosomal RNA", at positions 100 to 339 of the family's 1533-position model. The record is from RNAcentral. Lineage: Bacteria; Bacillati; Bacillota; Clostridia; Lachnospirales; Lachnospiraceae.